This 465-nucleotide ribosomal RNA is filed under the name uncultured bacterium. RNAcentral describes it as "partial 16S ribosomal RNA". It matches the Rfam family "Bacterial small subunit ribosomal RNA", at positions 28 to 507 of the family's 1533-position model. The record is from RNAcentral.
GACGAACGCUGGCGGCGUGCUUAACACAUGCAAGUCGAACGGAAAGGCCCUGCUUGCCGGGUACUCGAGUGGCGAACGGGUGAGUAACACGUGGGUGAUCUGCCCUGCACUUCGGGAUAAGCCUGGGAAACUGGGUCUAAUACCGGAUAGGAGCCAUUUUUAGUGUGAUGGUUGGAAAGUUUUUUCGGUGUAGGAUGAGCUCGCGGCCUAUCAGCUUGUUGGUGGGGUAAUGGCCUACCAAGGCGGCGACGGGUAGCCGGCCUGAGAGGGUGGACGGCCACCUUGGGACUGAGGUAAGGCCCAGACUCCUACGGGGGGCAGCAGGGGGGAAUAUUGACCAAUGGGCGCCAGCCUGAUGCAGCGACGCCGCGUGGGGGAUGACGGCCUUCGGGUUGUAAACUCCUUUCGCUAGGGACGAAGCUUUUUGUGACGGUACCUAGAUAAGAAGCACCGGCUAACUACGUG